RNAcentral lists this ribosomal RNA (483 nucleotides) under uncultured bacterium. RNAcentral's name for it is "partial 16S ribosomal RNA". It matches the Rfam family "Bacterial small subunit ribosomal RNA", at positions 30 to 507 of the family's 1533-position model. The record is from RNAcentral.
UUGAACGCUGGCGGCAGGCCUAACACAUGCCAGUCGAGCGGAUGAAGGGAGCUUGCUCCUGGAUUCAGCGGCGGACGGGUGAGUAAUGCCUAGGAAUCUGCCUGGUAGUGGGGGAUAACGUCCGGAAACGGGCGCUAAUACCGCAUACGUCCUGAGGGAGAAAGUGGGGGAUCUUCGGACCUCACGCUAUCAGAUGAGCCUAGGUCGGAUUAGCUAGUUGGUGGGGUAAAGGCCUACCAAGGCGACGAUCCGUAACUGGUCUGAGUGGAUGAUCAGUCACACUGGAACUGAGACACGGUCCAGACUCCUACGGGAGGCAGCAGUGGGGAAUAUUGGACAAUGGGCGAAAGCCUGAUCCAGCCAUGCCGCGUGUGUGAAGAAGGUCUUCGGAUUGUAAAGCACUUUAAGUUGGGAGGAAGGGCAGUAAGUUAAUACCUUGCUGUUUUGACGUUACCAACAGAAUAAGCACCGGCUAACUUCGUG